Molecule: transfer RNA, 72 nt
Filed under: Ictidomys tridecemlineatus (thirteen-lined ground squirrel)
Lineage: Eukaryota; Metazoa; Chordata; Mammalia; Rodentia; Sciuridae
Description: Spermophilus tridecemlineatus (thirteen-lined ground squirrel) tRNA
Rfam family: tRNA
About the family: Transfer RNA (tRNA) molecules are approximately 80 nucleotides in length.
Source: Rfam by way of RNAcentral
GGGGAUGCAGCUCAGUGGUAGAGUUCUUGCCUAGCAUGUGUGAGGCCCUGGGUUCCAGCCCCAGCAACACCC